GACGAACCGUCCUAACGUUGUUCGGAUUCACUGGUCUUAAAGGGCGCGUAGGCGGACUGGUAAGUCCGGGGUGAAAUCUUUCGGCUCAACCGGAAAAGUGCCUUGGAAACUGCCAGUCUCGAGGGGGGUAGGGGCCUGUGGAACUUCGGGUGGAGCGGUGAAAUGCGUUGAUAUCCGAAGGAACGCCGGUGGCGAAAGCGACGGGCUGGACCCCUUCUGACGCUGAGGCGCGAAAGCCAGGGGAGCAAACGGG
RNAcentral lists this ribosomal RNA (253 nucleotides) under uncultured bacterium. RNAcentral's name for it is "partial 16S ribosomal RNA". It matches the Rfam family "Bacterial small subunit ribosomal RNA", at positions 524 to 776 of the family's 1533-position model. The record is from RNAcentral.